CGUUAGGAUGAACGCUGGCGGCGUGCCUAACACAUGCAAGUCGAACGGAAGCUUAACGCUGACGAGACUUCGGUCAAAUCUGUAAGCUUUAGUGGCGGACGGGUGAGUAACGCGUGGGCAACCUGCCUCAUACUGGGGGAUAACAGUUCGGAAACGACUGUUAAUACCGCAUAAGCGCACAGCAUCGCAUGAUGCAGUGUGAAAAAACUCCGGUGGUAUGAGAUGGGCCCGCGUCAGAUUAGCUAGUUGGUGGGGUAAAGGCCUACCAAGGCGACGAUCUGUAGCCGGACUGAGAGGUCGGACGGCCACAUUGGGACUGAGACACGGCCCAAACUCCUACGGGAGGCAGCAGUGGGGGAUAUUGCACAAUGGAGGAAACUCUGAUGCAGCGACGCCGCGUGAACGUGAAGAAGUAUUUCGGUAUGUAAAGCUCUAUCAGCAGGGAAGAAAGGCUCGAAAGAGAGAUGACGGUACCUGACUAAGAAGCCCCGGCUAACUACGUGCCAGCCGCUGC
Molecule: ribosomal RNA, 514 nt
Filed under: uncultured bacterium
Lineage: Bacteria
Description: bacterial SSU rRNA
Rfam family: Bacterial small subunit ribosomal RNA
Source: RNAcentral